This 3415-nucleotide ribosomal RNA is filed under the name Triticum aestivum (bread wheat). RNAcentral's name for it is "partial small subunit ribosomal RNA". Lineage: Eukaryota; Viridiplantae; Streptophyta; Magnoliopsida; Poales; Poaceae. The record is from RNAcentral.
CCCUUCUAGGCCCGAAGAGCGGCAGCGCCGAAGCCGCCGUCUCCAGCCCAGAUCCACAACGGCCGGACGGGCGCGACCUAAAGCGAAGGGGAGACGGCUAAGCCCGAGCCCUAGGGGCCAGGCCACUCUAAGGGGGCGGGCGGGACGAGGGCUUAAGGGAGUGAUUGUCAUCAUCGAGGGGGGGCAUGACGGGACCGCGCAGCACUUUACAACCUCACUAACGCUAAAGUACCGGGCAGCGCAGGGCGCCUACUCGACUCAAUCCGCCUUUCCACUCCACUAAACGGCACGGCACCGGCUCUUCUUCCGGACAAACAAAUCCGACCUUAGAUCACAGACGCUAGCCACGCUCGUAUACCGAUACAGGAACACGUGUGCUACAGGUGUCGAACAGCAAUCCGUGCUAAAGCCUAAUCUUAAGUCAGCACGCAUGAGCCCGUUGAUUUUAUUAGCCUACGGUACGGUAUCCUUACGGUUCAAUAUGUCCAUCAUGAUCAUUAAACAAACAGUGUACUAUUUGCAAAAGACAGUGUACUAAGGUACGAAACGGAGUAAAUGUACACAUAAAUAAUGUGUGACAGAAUCAAAGGAUAAUCAUAACUACUACAUCUCGCAGAGGGAGUGAGGGACUAUUCAAUUCUGACUAGACAGUAUUUAUGUGUACAGACAGUUUUCACCGACCAAUUAAACCAUUCGCCACUUAGUCUUCCUAUGGCGGUGAUUCAUGGUUGAUGGUCCAGAAAUGCUUAAAAACGAAUGUCAAACCCUACGUACAGUGACACACAAAUGGACCUUACCACCAAGUCUCGAAUCAAGACAAAACAAAAUUCAAGUAGGGACAUCGGUAUUCACACCAUUUUAAAAUAACGGGACAUUAGAUUUAUCUGAAGUGGGACUACUCAAACCAUCGGUUAUCUGCGUCGUUUUGUAAAUACAUAAAUCACGGAAAACUGGACUGGAUAUGAAAAAACUCAUCCAGAAUACCACUACUUCUACCUCCAACUCCUCCUGCCACGGUUACCUCCUUUACCACCUCGUACCUGACUCCUCCUGGCUCUGGAGUCGUGGUGACACGAUCCAUCUCUACGUAAACGUAUGAACUGUUUUCCCCCGCCAUGGUAUAGACUCCCAGAACAACGACGUAGCAGUGGACACCUGAACGUUUUAUUUGACGUCCUCGAAUAACUUAGUCUCGUAGGACCACGACCAACCUUGAUGCGGUAGAAGACCGUCGAAAGUGCGUGUUUCAGACCACUAGAACAGGAACCCACCCCACUACCGAGAACGGCACUUGGGUUACUACGACUCAACCGUCGACGACGAAGACGUCCGUUACUACUACGGUUUGUCGCCUACGCCUUCGCACAUGACGUCGCCAACGUGUCUCGUAAACCACGACGACUACUCCUCCUAAUACGAGGGUGAUAACCAGUCCACUGUCUAUGUCUUUACAAGAAGGAUCGUAGAUACAUGAAGCGCAAAGGCGCAGCACGGCCACGAGGACCAGUUCAAAAACGUCGACCGGAGGGAGAGACCCAAGGGUUAAGACUCGCGUUACAUAAGGGUCGGUUAAUGACAAUGGCCCCUAUGGAACGUUCGUGUCGUCCUAAAUCUUGAUAGGACAAUCACGGUAAACUCUGACCACACGAACUCGACCCAAGCUACGUCGUCCACCGACUCUCAAGACUGUGAGAGGUCUGGUAUUUCAGACAGAAACGCCCCUGUCCACCGUUAUUCCUAUAUUAAGGCUCAGCACUUCCUUUACCAGUGUAACUCUCCAGUGGUCCAGACCGUUUCUAAAAACCGUUCCUAAACUUGGAACCAGCCAGAAGUCGUCCCGGUCACUAACCCCAUAGCUUUCAUCUACUUUCCAGUACCCUUGUCUCCUGACGACCACCUCCCUCGAGUCACGAAGGGUUACAGGUCUUUCCUAACGUCUCAAAGUGAACCUCAGUCCGGGCCCCGGACUUAAGAGUGGUCGUCUUCAAACCGUUACCAUAUGACUAUCACUCAUUACUUCGAUGUGUGCCGUUGUUAUCUCGGUGUCUGUCGAGGUGAUGUUGUGUCAAAGUCGAUGUCUUUCGUGGAGUCGAGGUCUUUGAUGGUGAAGAAGUCUUUGGUGGUGUCGAUCACUUCGGUGACGUCUACCAGUUGGUCGUUGUCGACGUCGGUGUCCGCGGAUCCGUUUAUCUAAAAUCACGUCCCUGGUCAAGGUUCAGACCACAAGACCAAUGUUCUCGUCGACAAGAACUACCUCUAUCAAGUCUCCACUUACCGAACACAUUUCUCCUUCCCUGUUGUGGACAGUAUCUCCUGGCUGCCGGUUCCUUCUCCCCUUCUUUCGGACGCUUACCCUCUCUCCUCGGCGACUUAGUACAACUCCGACUCGCAGUUUCCUCCCUCUUCGAGUUGGUCGCCAAGAUACGAAACUCUCGGCAACACGGGUUGUAGAGCUUUUACCUGUUCCGGAGAGACAACCCGCUACGUUAUCGUAUGUAGUGACUGGAAGUUUUCUUCGAGUUUCUAUACCUCUGCCUCUCUCUUGCUAAAGAACUCAGACCAUACCAACUAGGAUCCCUCGCUCGGGGAUCUGGUCUCCAACUGUAGGUCCACCACGUUCUGCUCCAAGACCAAGCUCAAUACAGAGGUAACCUCUUGGUAGGCCAUUUCUUCCAGAAACUUCGCAAACUUCUCCGCCUGCAGGCCCAUCCCCUCAGCUUUGAGUGUCCGUUGUUACCUUGCCAUCACGUAAGGAAGUAGUAGUUCACGGGACCGAGGCUUGUCGUUUGCUCUCUCUUUCACUAGCGACGUUACAGAGCGCGGUACUCGAGUCACAUCUCAGCCAACUCCCCUCAGCCACGUCAUCUCCAACCAAUGAGACGACCACCGUAGGUUCGUCGUCCGUCGGGGACUUUGGAAGGUAAGACAACUAUCUUCAACAUCCAGCUCUGUCGUCCGACUCUAAAGACUGAAUCGUUACGUUCUUUUCGUGUUCGAUUUGGCGGUAACAACAUUGCCAUCCAAGAACACGAGGAACAUCAAAACUACAAAAAAACCCUUCUUAUGGUACGAAAAUCACAUAACGAAUUAAUCACGCCUUGGUAUUUUUCAUGUAAAGCGUACGUACUCAAUCUUUUAAUGAAAAAACAUCGGAAAAGAAACAAGUUUAGGAACUCACCCGGCCACCUAAUUAUUGAGACUCGUUAAAGACAGGACUUGGAAGACGAAGACUGAACCUACUAGAGCAACUUUGUUUGUAGGUACAAACCCAUUUGACUACUGCAACCAGAACCAGAUUAAGAUAGUUGUACGACAUAAUGCGAACAAGACAUCUUUAAGAAAGCUACUCUACUAAUCGACGGUUGACUUCAGCCCUCUAAAUGUUUGAUGUCUACCACAACAUGCCGACUUUCAC